Molecule: ribosomal RNA, 460 nt
Filed under: uncultured bacterium
Lineage: Bacteria
Description: partial 16S ribosomal RNA
Rfam family: Bacterial small subunit ribosomal RNA
Source: RNAcentral
CCUACGGGUGGCAGCAGUGAGGAAUAUUGGUCAAUGGGCGGGAGCCUGAACCAGCCAAGUAGCGUGAAGGAUGACUGCCCUACGGGUUGUAAACUUCUUUUAUCAAGGAACAAAGUGCGGCACGUGUGCCUUUUUGAAUGUACCUUAUGAAUAAGCAUCGGCUAACUCCGUGCCAGCAGCCGCGGUAAUACGGAGGAUCCGAGCGUUAUCCGGAUUUAUUGGGUUUAAAGGGGGCGUAGACGGGUUGUUAAAUCAGUGGUGAAAGUUUGCGGGUCAACCGUAGAAGUGCGGUUGAAACUGGCAGUCUUGAGUAGGGUUGAAGUAGGCGGAAUUCGUGGUGUAGCGGUGAAAUGCUUAGAUAUCACGAAGAACUCCGAUUGCGAAGGCAGCUUACUAAACCGCCACUGACAUUGAUGCACGAAAGUGUGGGUAUCGAACAGGAUUAGAUACCCGAGUAGUC